This 255-nucleotide ribosomal RNA is filed under the name uncultured bacterium. RNAcentral describes it as "partial 16S ribosomal RNA". It matches the Rfam family "Bacterial small subunit ribosomal RNA", at positions 524 to 776 of the family's 1533-position model. The record is from RNAcentral.
UACGUAGGGGGCUAGCGUUGUCCGGAAUCACUGGGCGUAAAAGGGCGCGUAGGCGGCCUGGCAAGUCGGUGGUGAAAGCCCGUGGCUCAACUACGGGUCGGCCACCGAUACUGCUAUGGCUCGAGUGUGGUAGAGGCAGAUGGAAUUCCUGGUGUAGCGGUGAAAUGCGCAGAUAUCAGGAGGAACACCGAUGGCGAAGGCAGGUCUCUGGGGCAUUAACUGACGCUGAGGAGCGAAAGCAUGGGAGCGAACAGG